GAUGAAGAACGUAGCGAAAUGUGAUACUUGGUGUGAAUUGCAGAAUCCCGCGAAUCAUCGAGUUUUUGAACGCAAGUUGCGCCCGAAGCCAUUCGGCCGAGGGCACGUCUGCCUGGGUGUCACGCAUCGUUGCCCCCCCAAACUCCGGUUCGGGCGGGGCGGAAGUUGGCCUCCCGUGCGUGCCUGCGCGCGCGGUUAGCCCAAAAGCGAGUCCUCGGCGACGAGCGCCACGACAAUCGGUGGUUUUUUUACCCUCGUUCCUCGUCGUGCGUGUCCCGUCGCCCGAACACGCUCUUGUGACCCUCACGCGUCGCCUCGGCGGCGCUCCCAACGCGACCCCAGGUCAGGCGGGACUACCCGCUGAGUUUAAGCAUAUCAAUAAGCGGAGGA
RNAcentral lists this unclassified non-coding RNA (390 nucleotides) under soil metagenome. RNAcentral's name for it is "partial contains 5.8S ribosomal RNA, internal transcribed spacer 2, and large subunit ribosomal RNA". The stretch from base 1 to 122 matches the Rfam family "5.8S ribosomal RNA", at positions 35 to 154 of the family's 154-position model. The record is from RNAcentral.